Oxyura jamaicensis (ruddy duck) is the source of this 677-nucleotide long non-coding RNA. RefSeq lists it as uncharacterized. The record is from RefSeq and is a predicted model, not a curated record. The transcript has 4 exons. NCBI's taxonomy places the organism in Eukaryota, Metazoa, Chordata, Aves, Anseriformes, Anatidae.
CAGAAGGCUGCCAGCUGCCUCUGGCCUGAGGGUGAGGCAGCUAGCUGCUGAUGGCAUGGCUUCACUCACCUGGGAGAUUGCCACAUGCACAGGGAGCCAGAGGCAAAACAAGGUGCAGCUGACAGGGGGCGGGAGAAACUCUGAUUGCAAGUUAGCAAAAAAUCUCCCGGCAGGUUUGGGCAUGUGGUGUUUCCUCUUUGAGGGCUGCUGCUUUACCAGAGCAGAGUGCUCUGUCUGCAGAAGUAUUUCAAAGCUAAAUGUUAAUGAGCAGAAGGCUCUGGUCUCUCAGCGAGGAAGUGCUGAUGUGGGAAUGGUAGUAAAGGCUCUGCAAGGCACUGCUGUAACUAUGCACGUGGCAGAGAGAAGUCAGUACCACAGGGCUAGCAGGAGAGAUGCGUUUAUCUGAACAAAACGAGCAGAUGGAUGUGCAGGAAACAGUUAUGCUGGAAGAGUUGGCCAUUUGGAGAGCCAGCGUUGGAAGUGGCUGCUGCAAAUGAACCUGGAGGGAGAACCUCACUUACAAAUAUUUAGAGCUCAUAAUAGGCCCCCAGUGAGUCCUUCUGAGGAACAGAGCUAACUCAAAGACCAGACCAAGAGAGGCUUAUCCAGCUGCUUCUGCUUUCUUCAAAGAGAAUGGGCUUGAUCCCACACAGCACCAUCUCUAAUGGUUCUCUGGC